ACACAACAAUAUAAACAUAAUAUAUUUAUAUUUAAGUAUUACCCUUAUCCAAAAGUACAUAAUCAACAAGACUAAGACUAAAUUAUCACUACUACCUACACUUGCAAGUAUCACAAGUGAAUUGAUCUUCACCAUCAUCAGACACAUACAAAAGGGGGAAUAAAUCCUUUUAAAUUCUUGCAUACAAAAAGUCAAUAUCCUAACUCAAAAAACAACUACAAAAAGAACGUCACACUACUACACUUGUCAUUCUUGAUCUAAUUCUUCACCAUCAUCUGACAUAUCAUCAUUAUCAUCAGCCACAUCAUCUUCAUUGACUUGAUCUCUAGUAUAUGGCUUGGGCUGAAAGUUUAAGUUUAAGCUCUGACAUGAUCCCUACUUUGCAGAAAACAUGACACCAGAGUAAGACUCAAAACAUGAAUACAUAAAAUGUAUCUCUAGUUCAAAUGUAAAUGUUUAUCUAAAAGGAAUAGAAUGAUGAGCUAGUCUGCAAAGCAAGAGUAGUUGACAUGACAAAACAAUAAUAUUAAGAAAAACAACUCCGACCUUAUGCUAAGGAUCUGGAAGGAAACUCAAAGGCUCAAGUGUCGGUCCACAACUCCGACCUUGUACUGUAAGGAAAUAACAAACAUUACUAUACAAUAUUGAUACCUUUGAAGGGCUUAAAUU
Molecule: long non-coding RNA, 669 nt
Filed under: Trifolium pratense (red clover)
Lineage: Eukaryota; Viridiplantae; Streptophyta; Magnoliopsida; Fabales; Fabaceae
Description: long non-coding RNA (TPRA_LNC006231)
Source: RNAcentral